Molecule: ribosomal RNA, 253 nt
Filed under: uncultured bacterium
Lineage: Bacteria
Description: partial 16S ribosomal RNA
Rfam family: Bacterial small subunit ribosomal RNA
Source: RNAcentral
UACGGGGGGUGCGAGCGUUGUCCGGAAUCACUGGGCGUAAAGGGCGCGUAGGCGGUUUGAUAAGGGUGUGGUGAAAGUCCGGGGCUCAACCCCGGAUCUGCCGUGCCGACUGUCAAACUCGAGGGCUGUAGAGGCAGACGGAAUUCCGGGUGUAGCGGUGGAAUGCGUAGAGAUCCGGAGGAAGACCGGUGGCGAAGGCGGUCUGCUGGGCAGUUUCUGACACUGAUGCGCGACAGCGUGGGGAGCAAACAGG